This 580-nucleotide unclassified non-coding RNA is filed under the name Hevea brasiliensis (rubber tree). The record is from RNAcentral. Lineage: Eukaryota; Viridiplantae; Streptophyta; Magnoliopsida; Malpighiales; Euphorbiaceae.
CUUGCUCUGUUUUCAUCUUCCUACCUAAGGAACUUCUCUCGCUCACUAAACCACCGCCACGGCUCACGAUAGCGGGCGCAGUUCCUUUCAUGUCUCCUCUAUAUAUUUAAGCUUGCUUCAAAAUCAACUUUUUCUUUUUGUUCUUUCUCGGGAAAGUUCUUUGUAUGAAAAGAAAGAGAAGAAGAAAAAUAUUUCAUUAUCUUUCAGAUCCUCUCAUUGUUAGCUGGAUCUUCCGAACGUAAUCAAGCUUUACACCAACAAUUCAUUGGAUGCUGAAGCCUCUUCGCACGGCUUGUGGCAUUUUCGGCAUGUGGGGAAGACAGCGUGAGACAAACUCGAUGUACAAGCGUCUGUCGUCAAGAGAUUAUGCAAACAUAGUCGAUGUAGAAGAUAAUUCUGCCCUUGUACAGAAGGAUCAGCAUCCAGAAGCUACAAAUCCUCCAUGGAGGCUUUCUUUUCCACAUGUACUGGUGGCAACCAUUUCAUCCUUCUUAUUUGGCUAUCAUCUUGGUGUGGUAAAUGAACCACUUGAAAGCAUUUCAUUGGAUCUAGGAUUCAAUGGAAAUACCUUGGCAGAAGG